This 506-nucleotide ribosomal RNA is filed under the name uncultured bacterium. Its description in RNAcentral is "partial 16S ribosomal RNA". It matches the Rfam family "Bacterial small subunit ribosomal RNA", at positions 28 to 523 of the family's 1533-position model. The record is from RNAcentral.
GAUGAACGCUAGCUACAGGCUUAACACAUGCAAGUCGAGGGGUAACGAGAGGAAAGCUUGCUUUCCUUGUCGACGACCGGCGCACGGGUGAGUAACGCGUUUCCAACCUGCCCCCAACUAGGGAAUAACCUUGCGAAAGUAAGACUAAUACCCUAUAAUUUCCUCAGAUGUCAUCUGACGAGGAAUAAAGAUUUAUCGGUUGUGGAUGGGGAUGCGUCUGAUUAGCUUGUUGGCGGGGUAACGGCCCACCAAGGCAACGAUCAGUAGGGGUUUUGGGAGGAAGGUCCCCCACAUUGGAACUGAGACACGGUCCAAACUCCUACGGGAGGCAGCAGUGAGGAAUAUUGGUCAAUGGGCGGAAGCCUGAACCAGCCAAGUAGCGUGCAGGAUGACGGCCCUAUGGGUUGUAAACUGCUUUUAUACAGGAAUAAAGUUAGCCACGUGUGGUUAUUUGUAGGUACUGUAUGAAUAAGGACCGGCUAAUUCCGUGCCAGCAGCCGCCGUAA